RNAcentral lists this long non-coding RNA (256 nucleotides) under Physcomitrium patens. RNAcentral describes it as "long non-coding RNA (PPAT_LNC007764)". The record is from RNAcentral. Lineage: Eukaryota; Viridiplantae; Streptophyta; Bryopsida; Funariales; Funariaceae.
GAUUGAUCUUAAAUUCACAACACACAUUAAGCAAAACUAUAUCCACCAACCCACAAAAUUACACCUAUAGAUCUGCUACAAACUCUCCAAAUUGCCUAAAAUGUCAAACCUAUUUUAUUUUACAAAAAUCAAAGUCACUUGAAACAACCUUGAUUUUGUAAAGCUCUUACAAAGUCAUUACAAAUUUAAAUUGCACAAAACUAAUGCUCAUAGAAAUCCUAUCAAGUGUGCUAUCAAAUCCCACCCUCCAAUCUAC